Molecule: unclassified non-coding RNA, 2013 nt
Filed under: Hevea brasiliensis (rubber tree)
Lineage: Eukaryota; Viridiplantae; Streptophyta; Magnoliopsida; Malpighiales; Euphorbiaceae
Source: RNAcentral
GCUUAUAUGUAAUACAUUAAUUGAAGUUUUAUAGUUAUAUAUAAGAAAAGAAAGUCGGAAUGCCAAUUUUCUUUGCCAUGAUAAUUAGCCUUUUCUUUUUUAAUGAUUCGAUAAUUAGCUAAACAUAGUUGCUUGAAUGUAUGAUACACCUGUCAUGGUCUCAUGGAUUAUAAGAGCUGCUAACUCAAGAACAAGUGAUGAAUCUAAUAACUACUGGGUCUAAAUGUGGCACUAGAUUAAUCAUAGAGUGGACUCGAUCAAGUGAUCAAAAGAAGGGGCUGCUAGCGCAAUGUCAUUACUACACGUGUAUCAUUUACUUCCUCAAUCAACUUUUGUUAAACAGAUGUUGCUGUUGAAGUUGGAGGUAUAAGGAGUCAGAUCCCAAACGAGUGAGGUUAACAUAAUCUUGAUGAUUGUGAGCUGAAAUACCAGGAAGUACGAGUCCAUACCAUCUAAUGAUUUUAAGCAACCAGCCUUCUGAGUAAUCUGGUCCCUUCACGUAUGGCAAAAUGAAGCUUCUUAGUAGCUCCCACACAGCGUUUAGAAACCUGGGUAUCGGUGCAAAUGAUGAUAAAUAAUUCUUGUGUGGUUCUUCUACUAAUAUCUGCCCUUUGUAGAUGCUAUUAUAGUAGAUGCAUGUCCCAAAGUGCUUGAACAAAAAUCUUGAAUCAUCUGUGGGCAUCCUGGGAACCACAUCAUUGCAAUACACAAACCUCAAAUAUUUGAUAUUAUAAGUUUUCAAUGUACUUUCCAUGAACUUCUUGAAGUACUCAUCUCCAACCCUAGGUUGUCCAAACGUGUAUACACCCUCCAAUCUCUCUAACAAUUCUGUCUCCUCGUGCAUUGCCAGAACAGCUACGAAAAGAAUUGCAAGCGCUCCGCCCAAACUGUGGCCAGCCAAUAUGUACUUUGUUCUAUCAUUUUGUUUCAGAAUUUGUAACAGCUUCUUCCUUAUUGUGUAGUAAGCUAAUGGUGGAUCAUCUUGUUCACAUUCUUGCGGCCGCGGCCAGCCUUUGUUCCUUAACAACCCUAAUGCUUUCAUGAAGCCGCCAUGAAUUUUCCCCAUGUACCCAUCAAGCUCAUACCAGGAGAUAUCAAAGUCAGUACACCAUGCAUCUGCAUCAAAGGGUUCAGUACCUCUAAAGGCCACAACAAUUAUAUCAGGAUUUGCACUUUUGUCAUGAAACAUGAUAGCCUGUGUUGUAAGUUUUUCUUGAAAAUCUGCUCAGUUGUAGUUUUGUUGUUAUAAUGUCAUGAAAAAAUUAGAGCCACUUUGAAGUUUGCAGAACAAAGAUAAGAGAAGAUGUCAUUUAAUUAAGAGUUAGGAUUAAAUUGUUUGUUACCGUUCCAAAAAUCGUAUUGUCCACGUCCAAUUAUUUCCAUCUAUACCAAAUUACCGAUAUUAAUUAGAUUCUUGAGAGAGAAAACAAUGAAACUUGUAAACCAUUAUUACUGAUGACUAAAUAUGAAGCAGUUUAAGAUGUAUAUAAUUCAAAUCUACCUUCCAGUGAUUUCUGACAACAUUUUCGACAAAGGCCUGAUUCUCGUAUGAUAUCUUAGCAGCCAUUGCAGCCAGUGCGCUGUAGUAUCUGCAAUUAUCAGGUUUUAUGUUCUUGUCUAAAUGCACACGCUGGUCUAUAUAUCCAAUAGUUGACAAGAACGUUUCUGAUUCUUUAACAGGCAUCACCACCUUACCUCGUAAAGCAUUUGCCAAGAGCACAAAAAUGUUGCGAUUACAUGAUACAAGGUUCAGCCACAUCUCAAACUUUGAUCCAAGCUUUGAUAUUGGCAUGGCCACAGAUUGCAGAAGCUUCUGCGCAAAGAGGGAAAAAAAGAUGCGCCAUUUGGGAGGAAUAUUUCCCUCCCUUCCAGUGGGGUAAUCCACGAAUGCUCUCUCCUCCAUGCCAUUGUUGAAUAAGAUGCAAAAAAUAUUGAAAAAACUCACAUCCUCUGGUCUCAGUAUCAUAUAAUUCUCAGAGAACUUGUGAUGACUCUGAUGGCACUCCAUUUGGG